RNAcentral lists this ribosomal RNA (497 nucleotides) under uncultured bacterium. Its description in RNAcentral is "partial 16S ribosomal RNA". It matches the Rfam family "Bacterial small subunit ribosomal RNA", at positions 28 to 507 of the family's 1533-position model. The record is from RNAcentral.
GACGAACGCUGGCGGCGUGCCUAAUACAUGCAAGUUGAGCGCUGAAGGUUGGUACUUGUCCCAACUGGAUGAGCAGCGAACGGGUGAGUAACGCGUGGGGAAUCUGCCUUUGAGCGGGGGACAACAUUUGGAAACGAAUGCUAAUACCGCAUAAAGACUUUAAACACAAGUUUUAAGUUUGAAAGAUGCAAUUGCAUCACUCAAAGAUGAUCCCGCGUUGUAUUAGCUAGUUGGUGAGGUAAAGGCUCACCAAGGCGAUGAUACAUAGCCGACCUGAGAGGGUGAUCGGCCACAUUGGGACUGAGACACGGCCCAAACUCCUACGGGAGGCAGCAGUAGGGAAUCUUCGGCAAUGGACGAAAGUCUGACCGAGCAACGCCGCGGGAGUGAAGAAGGGUUUCGGAUCGUAAAACUCUGUUGGUAGAGAAGAACGUUGGUGAGAGUGGAAAGCUCAUCAAGUGACGGUAACUACCCAGAAAGGGACGGCUAACUACGUG